Drosophila guanche is the source of this 633-nucleotide long non-coding RNA. RefSeq lists it as uncharacterized. The transcript has 3 exons. The record is from RefSeq and is a predicted model, not a curated record. Lineage: Eukaryota; Metazoa; Arthropoda; Insecta; Diptera; Drosophilidae.
CUCAUCGAGGCUCUGGGUGGGCAGAUCCCUGCCCUGCGGCUGACCGGACCGCACUCCAGCCGUGCACAGCAACAGGAUGAUGCUCCAGGAUGAUACUUCCAGGACUGCCAGCGACAUGGCGUUCGCGGUUUCUCGCAACAUUCAAUUACCUUAAGUAGUCCAGAACCCCGCAUGGGGGGCCACUGAGCUGCAGCGUAUCUUACGGUCGCUGAAGCUGCACCGGAUAGAAUAUUACGGCGGACCCGACAAUCCCCGAGCCGGCAAGAAACCGAAAGUCUCAGCGUGAAGCAAUUAUCCAUGUUUGAGCGCGGAACCCACCCAUCACUGGAGGCAUCUGGAAUCAGCCGCCAGAAUGCAAAUGCCAGCUGAUGCAUUCGCAGAGAAGAUUAUCGUCGGGGAUUGUUGCCUCUCAUUCACUGAUAAUUAAAGGCGACUAAAGCAAGUUUCUCCAACGAAGACCCAACCAUUCGGCGACUUGGGGAAUCUCUUUUGAUCGAUUGACAAUUUUUACGAAUUUAUUCUGGAGAAAUCAUUGGCCAGCAGGGCCAGGCCAUGGUAAGUGUGUGUUAAUAGACCCUGAAUCUCAUUUUAUCUCCCAUUUUAAUGUCUGCAAUUCCCGUUCAUACUUUUAUG